Non-coding RNA from Candidatus Buchananbacteria bacterium RBG_13_36_9, 74 nucleotides. The record is from Rfam. NCBI's taxonomy places the organism in Bacteria, Candidatus Buchananiibacteriota.
GCACCCAUAGCUCAACUGGAUAGAGCGCUUGGCUUCGGACCAAGAGGUUGAGGGUUCAAAUCCUUCUGGGUGCA